GGAGAGAGCACUGGGCCUGAGUCAGGAAGACACAUCUUCCUGAGUUCAAAUCCAGCCUCAGACACUUACUAGCUGUGUGACCCUGGGCAAUUCAUUUGACCCUGUGUGCCUCAGUUUCCUCAUCUAUAUGAGUUGGAGAAGGCAAUGACAAUACAAUGUCUUUGCCAAGAAAACCCCAAAUGGGUUCUCGAAGAGGCAGGCAUGACUGAAAAUGACUGAAUACUACCAACAACAUACCUGAUUUAUGCUCAUUCGGCCUUUGCUAAGAGCCUCAGGGGAGGGUUCUUCCCUCCUACCUGGGGACUGUUCUCAUUGUUGAGAAGUUUCUCCUGGCAUCCAGCCUAAGCUGGCUUCUUGGCAUCUUCCCCCUUUGCUCCUGCCUCUGACCUCUGGAACCCAACAGAAUAAAAUCCAUUCCUUCCUUCAGGUACUUCAAGGCAACUCUCAGUCCCUUCCGAGUCUUCCUUUCUCCAUGCUAAAUAAGCUUGAUUCCUUUAAACUCAGCCUUCUAUGACACUCUCUCCAGACUCUUCCCCAUGACCUCCUCUGGCUUCUCAAAGUCUAUCCUAAAAAGUGGUGCUAAGUUGGAACAUGAGCACCAGAAGUAUCUCUGAAUUAAGAUUGGCACAAUGCUUUCUAUCCUCAAUCUCAUUCAUCCCUCACAACCCUGGGAGGUGUCAUCAUCAUCAUCAUCACCCACAUUUUAUAGAUAAGGAAACUGAGGCCCAAAGAGAGGCAGUCACCUGCCAGGGGUCAGUGGCAAUUGAGCUCAGAGCCCAGGGCCUUAGAGGGUCCAGUAUUUUUUCUAUCUGCCCAGGACUUUUUGAUGAAAAGAGACAGACAGGACAGGGUGGGUGCCAGUCGUCAUAGCAACAACAACCAUGACAUCAUAGAGGGAGUCACAACUGGGCAGGUUGGCCAAGCCAGCCAAGAUUUCUUUAGGUUCGAGGCCCUGGAAGUAGUUGAGGCACGGAGUUAUGAUGGCACUACAAUGAGACUUGUCUUUUCAUGCUUGGAGAAACAAGGUUGCUCCAAUUUCCACUGGAGGGACCAGGCAGGAAACCAGAUGACCCCCAUGGCCAAACCUGUGGAGAACUCCCCCGGUGUCUGUGGUGCUAAAGGGCUCUGGGGUGGCCCUUCAGGGCCUCAGACCAUUCUGGCAACCACCUCCUUCUCCGAGCAUGCUCUUUGUGGUGGAGGAGUGGCAUUUGGUAAGUCCUGGGGUGGGAGAUCACUGUGAGGCUUUGAAUAGGCCAGUGCUUCACAGGCUAU
RNAcentral lists this long non-coding RNA (1272 nucleotides) under Phascolarctos cinereus (koala). RNAcentral describes it as "lncRNA (ENSPCIG00000020578.2)". Lineage: Eukaryota; Metazoa; Chordata; Mammalia; Diprotodontia; Phascolarctidae. The record is from RNAcentral.